AAACCACAUACUACCUUCUUAGUUUUGCAAUAAGCCCUCAAUAUAAAAUCACCCGAAAAUAUAACGUGAUUCUUGAAUUUUUAAACUUUGGCUCAAAGGUCAGAAAAAGUGUAGUGAAUGUUGCCUUACAAAAAUCAUUAUAUUUCAGGAAGCAGUUUGGUGGUCUUUCACAAAGUUAAACAUAAAAUUGUCAUAUGAUCCAACAAUUCCACUUCUAGGUAUAUGCACAAAGAAGAUGAAAGCAGGGAUUUAAACAGAUACUUACACACUCAUCGUAACACUAUUCACAGAAGCCAAAAGAUGGAAAGAACCCAAAUGUUCACCAAUAGAUGAAUGGAUUUUUAAAAACGUAUGUAUGUCCGCGCAUGCGCCGUGAGGCCUGUCUGAGUGACCUUCAGCGCGGUUGGGUCCAAGUUUGAAAUAUGGCAACUUUGAAAGAUAUUACCAGGCAACUGAAGUCCAUCAAGAACAUCCAGAAAAUUACCAAGUCUAUGAAAAUGGUAGCAGCAGCAAAAUAUGCCCGAGUUGAGAGGGAUCUGAAACCAGCUCGAGUGUACGGAACAGGAUCUUUGGCUCUUUACGAAAAAGCUGAUAUUAAGGUGCCUGAAGACAAGAAGAAGCACCUCAUCAUUGGUGUGUCCUCAGAUAGAGGGCUUUGUGGUGCCAUCCAUUCCUCAGUUGCCAAGCAGAUGAAAACUGAGGUGGCUUCGCUCACAGCAACCGGGAAAGAAGUUAUUAUGAUUGUUGGAAUUGGUGAAAAAAUCAGGGGCAUACUUUAUAGGACUCAUUCUGACCAGUUUCUGGUGGCGUUCAAAGAAGUGGGCAGAAAGCCCCCUACUUUUGGAGAUGCGUCAGUCGUUGCCCUUGAGUUACUAAAUUCUGGAUAUGAGUUUGAUGAAGGCUCUAUCAUCUUUAAUCGUUUCAGAUCUGUCAUCUCCUAUAAGACAGAAGAAAAACCCAUCUUCUCUCUUAAUACCAUUGCAAGUGCUGAGACUAUGAGUAUCGCUGGAUUCGAGCUAUCUACGAAUGAUAUGAUUCUGCAUGUGCUGCAAAAUUACCAGAAUCACAAUCGGGCUAACAUCAUCUACCUUACUCUUUGAAGGAGUCCCUACCACUCAGUGAUGCAGAGUGCCUAGGAAUGACAGCCAUGGAAAUCCACCAGCAAGAACGGCUCCCUGAUAUGAUUGUACAGUUGACUUUUGGACCAUUCACCGGCAACCCGCUCCAACUGUCAUCACGAAAGAUUGAUUGA
This is a non-coding RNA of Microcebus murinus (gray mouse lemur), 1252 nucleotides long. Lineage: Eukaryota; Metazoa; Chordata; Mammalia; Primates; Cheirogaleidae. The record is from RefSeq and is a predicted model, not a curated record.